UCAUUUCAGGGAGUUGAUGUUUUGAGGGACGAUCACAGUUAGCAAAAAAGCUAGUCUUGCAAUAUACACUAUGAUGAUGAUCUUUAAGGUUUUUAUUUUUUGCAUGUUUAUAGGUUUGAGUGUUGAAGAUACAAUCACACCUGACAGAGACAUAGUGACAGCUGAGAAGAGCACUAGUGUUAAACUCUCCUGCACAUAUAGCAGUUCUCUCACCAAUGGUCUGUUGUGGUACCGCCAGUAUCCUGGAUCAGCACCACACUUCAUCAUACAAGACUAUGCAGGGAGCAUAACCAGUCCAAUACCAGGAUUGACUAUCCGCAAUGUGAAAGAUCAGAAACUUGUGGAACUUGGGAUUUCCUCUGUUAAAGUGACAGACUCUGCUCUGUACUACUGUGCGCUGAGGCCCACAGUGACAGGAAGCCCAGACACACUGUACAAAAACCCUGACAUAUUCAGGGGGAGGGUCCUCACAUGUCUCACUCACAGUAACACUUAGAGGAAUGCCUGAGAGGAAAGACACAUGCAGCAGUCUCUGUAAAGACG
Molecule: non-coding RNA, 543 nt
Organism: Hypomesus transpacificus
Lineage: Eukaryota; Metazoa; Chordata; Actinopteri; Osmeriformes; Osmeridae
Source: the annotation of a RefSeq genome assembly